This 930-nucleotide unclassified non-coding RNA is filed under the name Hevea brasiliensis (rubber tree). Lineage: Eukaryota; Viridiplantae; Streptophyta; Magnoliopsida; Malpighiales; Euphorbiaceae. The record is from RNAcentral.
AAGGGUGCAUCGAUUAGAUUUAACUCUAGUGGGCUAAAACCACCACCGGCCUCUGAAUUGGUCAACCAAACCCUUUUUUUUUUUCUAUUUCCUUCUACUUUCCCCCGUUUCAGACCGUUGUUGAUCACCAAAUCCUACAAUCCCGUCAUCGUAGAUCGUCUAAUCUUCCUAAAAAUCCUUUGCUUUCGAUUUGUUUCCUAUACUCUUCCAACAAGCUAAGGUUACGGCGAUUAGCCUCCUGAUCUCCACCGAAUUUCACCGUUUCCCUAACAAUUAUUUAAUGGAUCCAUCAGCGCCCAAUUUAACAAUUUUGGCCUCUUUAUGUCUCGCCGUUGCCAUUUUCGGACUUUGCUGGCCGGUCGCCCAAUCCAAACCUGAAGAUGGAAUAGUGAUUCAGCAAAUUACCAGCAAAGAAGGCGGUGUGUGCGCCGGAGUCACUGCUCCAGCGUCAUGCCCGAUCAAUUGCUUCCGCAUGGACCCCGUCUGUGGUGUCGAUGGAGUGACAUACUGGUGUGGGUGUGCUGAUGCUAUGUGCGCUGGUACUCCGGUUUCCAAAUCAGGGGCUUGUGAACUGGAAAAUGGUGGCAGCGCUUCUCUUCCUCGUCAGGCGCUUCUUUUGGUCCAUAUUCUCUGGCUUAUCUUGCUCGGUUUUUCUUUAUUGUUUGGUCUUUUCUAAUCUGAAAGGAACAGAGUUUACAGUUGUUCUCUUUCCUUUUGUUCUUAUGCUGUUGUGUUGUAUGUGGCCGGGAUUGUUACAGUUAGGCAUUGUGCGAGAGAGAUUUUUUUCAUUUAUGUAGAACAACUUCUUUAAUUAAAUAACAAUUGCAUUAUGAUUCUUUGUAUUCUCUUCCUAAAUCUCUGCUAGAAUAAUGCAAAUUGAAAGUCUGGUGCAGUGUGUCGUUUCAACCAUGGCACUUGAUGCUACUGCAA